GUGACAAUUUGUAUAGCUUGGUUAAGGUGGUGUCUGCUAGAUUUCCUCAAUGUAUUGCCAGAAGGGAAAAAAGUGGGGAGAAAAAAGAUAAUUGAUUUCUCCACUGUAAUUUUUCAAAGGGGUCAUGGAGGAAAACUGACAAGAAUUGUAUUUUGGAAGAAGAAUCUCCAAAAUACAAUUGGGGAGAAUCUCUGUCCUGCCUCUUGCCUCCAAGAUACAUGGCAAAUGGGGGUGUUAGUGGCCUGCAAGUGGAGGUUUAUUCCAGGUUCUUGGUGACUACUGGGAGAAAAGAAUUUCAGGAUGCACCACACAAAUCAAGCAAGUGCCAGCUUUUUAAAAAUUGAAAUCUAAAGUACACUCUCGAAAGAGAGCGGGCAGGCAGGCUCAAAAAGAGCAGCUGUAUAGCGACAAUAACAAGAGGAGGGGAAAAAAAGCAGCUGCACUGGAAAGUUUUUGAUCUUUUAAAGUCUUACUAUAAUAAUUGAAGGGAGGAAUAUUCAAGGCUAAGGGAGUGGCUUUUACUAAGAAUUUGGGUAGUUAAUUUCUAGAAUUGGGUUCACUCUCCAUUUUCAUACUUUAUAUGGUUGUUUGGAAUGGUCAUGGUGAUUUCAAGGGCAGAGAAAUUUUAAGACUGCAAUGUAAAUGAUAUUGUAAUUAGCCAGAGUUCGUGUAUGGUGACAGAGAUAGCUGACAAACCAGUUGAGGCUGGUUCUUGUCUGUGGUUAUCAGCUGUCUACUUAUAACAUCUGCACCCAAUCUUCAAGCCUUUGAAUCCAGUCUCAGCCCUGUCUCCUCGUCUCCUACUCUGGGAAAAACUAGAAUACCAGAGAGUUUACUGCUGACAGAAUCUGAUUAAAGAGGGCCCAGGUAGAAGAAAUGAAAGAUUGAGUCAGAUUAGGUGGGUAUUGGGAAGCACAGGUAAGAGACCAUGGCGGCUUGGACCGCUGGUGGUGGCUGAGGUGAAGGGGUUGAGGCUUGAUGAGAUUAGGCUGGUCGUCUCUUAGGCUUGUUCCUCUACGUGUGUUUCUGGGAGCAGUAGGAUCUCCUUUCCUGAGAGUUCAUUAGACAUGUAGAAUUCAGGCCCUACCUCAGACUUUCUGAGCAAAUUUACAAUUUUAACAAGAUCUCCAGGUGAUUUGUAAGCAUCUUAAAGUUUUAAAAGCACUGUCUUAAGAGAAUUGUGAGCCAACUCUUUAAGAGGCAGCUAUGCUGCUGGCAUGUCACUAAUGUCAACAGCCUAUGUGCCAGUGCCGAGUAUAGCAUCAGUGAGGCAAGCGAUCUGCCGUUCUUGGGCCACGGGGUAGGUACCUUCUGAUUCUGCAUUUCCUGAUGCUGAGAGACGUAGCACCUUCCUUGGUGGUUGUACAGUGUGGUUUGGCACUCGUUCCUGGAAGCUCAGUGCACACCCUGUUUCUGUAACCCUUGCAAUGAUUCUGUGAGCUCUACAUACCCACAAACAAAUCUCUUUCUACUUAAAACCACCUGCACUGGAUUCUGUUAUCUGCAACUAAGAACUUUGACCACUAUGCUUCCUGUCUCAGAGUGGGUAAGACACGGCAACACAUCAUGAUUAGAUGAAGUUGGAAGCAACCUAGGGGUGCGCCUUGGUUGAUUCUCUCCUAACGGGACCACAGACAAGGCAAUUAUGAGAGAUGGGAUCUAGCAACGUCAUGGGAAGGAGACAAUUGGAUUCUAUUGAUGAACUGCCCUCACUCCCGUGGCUGCCUCCACAUGUGACUUUCUCAAGGAUCAACGCUGUUUAUACUGCACAAUGAGGUCUUUUUUAUAAACAGAAUUCCACAAACUCCUCUGGCAACAGGACCUCAGUUUCCAAUGUUUCACAAGUCUUAGAGUGAGGAAAUUUCGUGGAAAUCUUCAGAAAAUAAGCUAUAAUCCAUGGUACACUUCCAAGCAUGUGCACAAGGCAAGCUUCCUUCAGGGUGCCAGGACGUGCACCAUGAGGAGAGCCAAGUAUUAAAGAAUGCUUCUCUGCGUCAAUGAACUCAAUAAAUGCGAAUUCUCAGCCCAGCAGAUGGAAUGUUUUAAGGGAAAGAAGAAAACUUCUGAAAAUGAAACUCAAGAAGCUGCAUGUACUUUGCUUCAAAGUUGCAGGGACUCCCUGAAGUUAGGAGCGGGGUGACAGCUCUCAGGGACUUAGGGGACCGUGUGAGUGCCCCGCAGCUAGUGCAGAAGCCCUGCCUCGACUCCAGUGCCUUGCGUGGAACAAGUUUGCCUUUCAAGACACUAGGGUGCUUUAGAAUGCCUUAGAAUUCAUCACAUGGCUUCAAUGUAGACUCCUGGUGUUGCUUUCACAAAUGACCCCAAGCUUUCACAAGAUGAGAGCUGUGUUUGCUUGUGUAGUGUUGCCUUCUUCACGAUGUCCUCACUGUGACAUAAACACAGGAUUUGGAGUCAGGAGGUCUGGAUUUGAGUCUUGGAUCUGCCACUUAUUGGCAGGGGAGGCCUUUGUCAAGUUGUUUAACUUCUCAGAGCCUCAAUUUUCUCAGCUGUGGAAAGGGGGUGAUAUUAGUAACAGUAUUAUUGAGGGAUAAGUGAAAUGAAUGUUUUAUCCUAUAGGAGGACAUAUAAUAGAUACUGUAUAAAGGAUUAUCUUUCCUUUCUGUUUUUCAGUGAGCUAGGAUAAUAGAGUAAGACAAGUGGCUAACCAAACAAACUCACUAUCUGAUAUAACCAGCCGUAUUCCCACAUACAUCAGUGUCCAUGAACUUGUCCUCCAAGUCCUCAUUGGUUGGAACUUGUUUUAUACUUACGGAGAAGGAUUUGAGAGAAGAGGUUUUGGUUAUAUGUUAGGAGCAGAAGGCGACAGUAGCCGAGGAGCGUCUGUUUCAAGCGUUUUGAUGGAAGCACAGCACCACCGACUGUGGGAAACCAUGGCCCCUGUGCAGGCAGUGUUGUAAAGCAAUUCUGCUUUUGAUCUCUCCUUUUCCCUGAGCACUCCACUGCGCCCUUGGGGCUGUCCCCAUACCGCUAUUGCUUCUUGAGGGUCUAUGCCUUCCACUGGUGUCCUAAUUAGACCCUGGCUUCCCUCAGUAAAAGCCGCAAGAACAACCCACUCCCCCUUCAUAGAAAUGCCUUUUGUCUCUUUCUCUCAAGGGCUUACUCUGUUUUCUAGACUAGUCCAUGGAAUACAUAUUGGCACAGUUUAGCCCAGCAAGUGAGGAGGGGCCCGUGUUUCUCCCAGUUUCCCUCUCUGCUUUCCAACAGAUGCCCUCCGUGGUCUCAAGCAAGUUGAAGGCAAGAUGGCAAACAAGUAGAGAAGGAAGUCUCUGAAGAUCUGUCAUCUUGUCUGCUCUUAAAUUUCAACAUUUAAAUGACUUUUCUGUGAUUUUCUGUGCAGUGGUCAUUGGGAAUAGAAGAAAGAGGAAGAAAACUUGGGGCGUUUGAGUUGUUUGGCCUGAUCAGCUUCUCUGCUCAAUAAGCUAUGGAGUACUUGUGGCAUGAAGAAGCUACCUAAAGAGCUUCUAAAAUGAAGAUGCCUGUUCUCAUCCCAAGGAAAAUAAAAUAGACCAACAUUUGCAUGUGGUUAA
Microcebus murinus (gray mouse lemur) is the source of this 3548-nucleotide non-coding RNA. NCBI's taxonomy places the organism in Eukaryota, Metazoa, Chordata, Mammalia, Primates, Cheirogaleidae. The record is from RefSeq and is a predicted model, not a curated record.